UUAGUUUAUUUAACUAUUUUCAGAUUUAACAUGGUUAAAAGAAUUUAUUGUGGGCUACUGACGAGCACUGGCCAAGGGUUUAAAACCCCCGACGGUCCGGUUGAAGACGGGCCCGCCAAAGCAACAUGGUAGUUAUACAAAGGGUUGGAGAUCGGGCCUGGAAGACCCUAACUCAUUAAUGAUCCUUCCGCAGGUUCACCUACGGAAA
RNAcentral lists this unclassified non-coding RNA (208 nucleotides) under uncultured fungus. RNAcentral describes it as "sequence contains ITS1, 5.8S rRNA gene". Lineage: Eukaryota; Fungi. The record is from RNAcentral.